Molecule: ribosomal RNA, 366 nt
Filed under: uncultured eukaryote
Lineage: Eukaryota
Description: partial 18S ribosomal RNA
Rfam family: Eukaryotic small subunit ribosomal RNA
Source: RNAcentral
CAAUAGCGUAUAUUAACGUUGUUGCAGUUAAAAAGCUCGUAGUUGGAUUUCUGGAGGGAGCGUCGGCCCGUAUUUACGAGUGCGUGGCGUCUCUGUCCAUCCUUGCGGGAAGGCACGGCAUUGAUUUGUUGUGUCGGAUCGCAUCAUUUACUGUGAAAAAAUUAGAGUGUUCAAAGCAGGCUUUCGCUUGAAUACAUUAGCAUGGAAUAAUAAGAUAGGACUUUGGUGCUAUUUUGUUGGUUGAGCCUAAAGUAAUGAUUAAUAGGGAUAGUUGGGGGCACCUGUAUUGCGUUGUCAGAGGUGAAAUUCUUGGAUUUACGCAAGACAAACAGCUGCGAAAGCGUCUGCCAAGGAUGUUUUCAUUAA